UGGGGAAUAUUGCACAAUGGGCGCAAGCCUGAUGCAGCCAUGCCGCGUGUAUGAAGAAGGCCUUCGGGUUGUAAAGUACUUUCAGCGAGGAGGAAGGCGUUGUGGUUAAUAACCGCAACGAUUGACGUUACUCGCAGAAGAAGCACCGGCUAACUCCGUGCCAGCAGCCGCGGUAAUACGGAGGGUGCAAGCGUUAAUCGGAAUUACUGGGCGUAAAGCGCACGCAGGUGGUCUGUCAAGUCGGAUGUGAAAUCCCCGGGCUCAACCUGGGAACUGCAUCCGAAACUGGCAGGCUAGAGUCUUGUAGAGGGGGGUAGAAUUCCAGGUGUAGCGGUGAAAUGCGUAGAGAUCUGGAGGAAUACCGGUGGCGAAGGCGGCCCCCUGGACAAAGACUGACGCUCAGGUGCGAAAGCGUGGGGAGCAAACA
RNAcentral lists this ribosomal RNA (427 nucleotides) under uncultured bacterium. RNAcentral's name for it is "partial 16S ribosomal RNA". It matches the Rfam family "Bacterial small subunit ribosomal RNA", at positions 355 to 774 of the family's 1533-position model. The record is from RNAcentral.